UACGUAGGGGGCAAGCGUUGUCCGGAUUUAUUGGGCGUAAAGAGCUCGUAGGCGGCUUGGCAAGUCGGGUGUGAAACCUCCAGGCUCAACCUGGAGACGCCACUCGAUACUGCCAUGGCUAGAGUCCGGUAGGGGACCACGGAAUUCCUGGUGUAGCGGUGAAAUGCGCAGAUAUCAGGAGGAACACCGGUGGCGAAGGCGGUGGUCUGGGCCGGCACUGACGCUGAGGAGCGAAAGCGUGGGGAGCAAACAGG
RNAcentral lists this ribosomal RNA (254 nucleotides) under uncultured bacterium. RNAcentral describes it as "partial 16S ribosomal RNA". It matches the Rfam family "Bacterial small subunit ribosomal RNA", at positions 524 to 776 of the family's 1533-position model. The record is from RNAcentral.